Molecule: non-coding RNA, 4864 nt
Organism: Podarcis lilfordi (Lilford's wall lizard)
Lineage: Eukaryota; Metazoa; Chordata; Lepidosauria; Squamata; Lacertidae
Source: the annotation of a GenBank genome assembly
GGCAACUUAUGCAACAAACAUGGAAACUCAUGGAAAUUAAGUGCCAGGAUAAAUAGUAUUUGUUGUUCUUACAAAUGUAAUAGACCGUGAUUGCAUUGUAGGUUUGCUGUGUCAGAAGUGGGGACUUUGUUUCCAUAUCUGUCUAUAAUAGCUUUAGCUCUCUGUUUGACUGCCCUUUUUAUGAAGUUUCCUGACAUAUUAUUUUUGCAGUUUGUAAUUCCUUGUUGGAGACAACAUAUUUGUGGGAUCAGUAGAAUUCUGUCAUUUCUAUUUGAUAAAUAGUGAACUGGUUCACUUGCUGGUUAUAGGAAGAGACUGUCUAUCAAUUAUCUAUCUAUCUAUCUAUCUAUCUAUCUAUCUAUCUAUCUAUCUAUCCACUAAGCCCUAAUAAUUAGAUACCCAAUAUACAAGAGAAAACGCUUUAAUUUCACAUUGUGAGCCUGCCUAUGUUGGCUGUCUUAAAUUCUAAUUUAAGUUCUAUGUUUCAGUCUUUUCUAAUCAGAAACACAAGCUAUCUGUGUUCGAGUUUCAACAGGAAAAGAACAAAUGGAAAGAGUCUCCUACUUCUAAUGUAAUUAUUUAAUGCUCCAAAUAGUAUUGAGAAAUGCAUACAGUACAUAUAGCUAUUGGAAAUUACUACCCUGGGAAAACAAGAAGACUCUGUCUUGAAUAUCACCACAGACUGGGCUUCAGUGGAUGGACAAAAGAAUGCGGACAGUGAGGAAACAUGAUCUUCCAACUUAGUCUGCCCUUCUAUUCUCUUUAUAGAGGAAUAGAGACAUGAAAACUUGAUCUCUCCGGAGGGAAAUUGUAGUACAAAUGACACAAUAAAUCCUUCUGUACCUCAAACUACUAAAGUUCCCCUAAAGAGGUGAAUAAAAUAAAUCAGACAUGCAAGCAUAACACUCUUCUUUUUCUAUCAAUCGGGGCUUUCUUUAUAAAGAAAAAGCACUGAGAUGCAAAAUGGUGAAAACAUACUUUUUCUGGAACUUAACUGGAGAUCAUUUACAGCUUUACCUAGUCUCCUUCUUACAAGGAAGAGAAAGGACUUUUCCAUGCUUUCCCCAACAUUUAAUAGGGCAGUAAUGAAUAGGUUUUCACAACAUUGUUAACCUUAAACACAUUUCAACCUUUCCCCUCUUCCCAAAAUAACUUUGUUUAAUUUCAGUGAAGGUUCAAAUAUACUACCAAAUUAUACUCGUUUUGACUGUUUUGACUGUCAUGGCUUCCUUCCAAGGAAUCUUGGGAGCUGUAGGUUUGAGACUGCCAAGAAUUUGCUGUUGUAGCUUCUCGGCAGCCUUGCUAUAACAUCUUUGGGUUUUAAAAUAAAAGCCAUGGCAGUAAACUAGUUGAAAACCUGGUGUUGUAAAGGUUGCUGUACAAAUGUAGUAUAAGUAUUUGGGAGGAAUUUAAAAUACCAUAUUACCAUAAGAAUCACAAAAAAUGAACUGAAGUGCAUGAUAAAACUAGCAAGAUAGCAUGACAAAAUUAAAAUAAAUGUAAUCUUAAUCAGUAAGUGUUUACAAGUGAUGCAAAUUUCAGAUUGGUAAACACAACAUAUUUCUUCCUUAGAUGUAGUUUUAAGUAUGUUCUGGAUUACAGUCCAAAUCAGCGCUUAACUAUUACAGAGGGUCAAUUAAAAAUCAAUUGAAUAAAUAGCGCUAUUCAAGUAGUGUGUGGGAUGCAGGUUUAUGACCUGAAUUGUCUUAUAGAGCUCAGUCAGACUACUUUCAAAUACCGUGUUGCAGUAUUCUUUAAAAACUCUUGAGAAAUAAUUUUACUCCAAACUUAAAUUACCAAGAGAGCUGCAGUGCAGCGAUAGUAGCAAUGCAAUGUAUUCUGAACUUUGAGGGUAAAUAGCAAGUAUGUGUACAAACUCCUUUGGGAGAGUUAAAGUUUUAUUUAAGUCAUUGCAAAUUCAGCGUCAUAUGCUUUUCUGCUUUUGGCUAAUUUCUAAAUGGUAUUUAGACAGUAUUUUCAUAUAGAAGCAAACUUGCUUAGUAAAUAACAUUCCUCUGGAAACACUGAAUUUCUCAAGGUCACAUUGCUGAUACCAUUAAGAUUCUGUAGCCUUUUAAUAUAUACGUUUGUCUUAUUCCUCACAUCUGCUUCCUACCUUAGCUUAAAAAUGGAUAAUUAUGGGUAAUGGUUGUGAUGUACCACUCUUCCUUGAAAGCGUAAUUCACACUUUCUCCUCGCUUUCUGAAAGGUAUAGUUUAAGUUUUCAACUUAAUCUCUGUUCAUACUAAAAGCUUAUUGAAAAUUAUCACAUGGGAAUUGAACUUGGAGCAAAAUGGAAAUACUUUAACUGCUGUUAGAAACCACUGCUGUGUCUUUCUUUAUUCACUGUUCUUAUGUCAAGCAUGAAAGGAGGAAGGCCAGCUAAAAUGGAGAUGAGGGGUUGUAUGAUGGCACUUUGUUGAAUAUGAAUCCUGACAUAAUUUGUGGAAUGAAUAAAAUGGUAUAACAGGUAUAAUAUGUAUUUCAAAACGUAUCAGAAUGCAUACCGAGCACUCGUAUGAGUGCUUAAGGUACAAAGCUGGUUAAAUUAUGAAAACUGUAUAGAUGAUGGUGAAUUAAAAACAAUUCCUUUCUAGAUAAUUGGUGAUUAAAGUUUGUGAAUACAAAACUAUUCAUAAUUUUAUAGUUUUAACCUAACUUUCAUAGAUUAAAGAUAGCAGACCCUCCCUAUUUUCCAGGGACAGCCCUGAUUUAAAGAAGCUGUCCCGGUUUCUGAUUUGAUCCUGGCAUGUCCUGCUUUUCCUUAGGAUGCCCCCUAUGUUUAUUGGAGAAAUGUUGGAGAGUAUGGUGUUCUGAAGACAAUCCUGUAUAGGGAAGUGGGUUUUUGUUAUGUUUAAUGUUUUAUUAUGUUAUUAUAUAUGCAGGAAGCUGCCCGAAGUGCUGGGGCAACCCAAUAAGAUGUGUGGGGUAUAAAUAGCAAAAUUAUCAACAUGGAAUGGGACGUCCCUAUUUUCAUAAGAGAAAUGUUAGGGUUUGGGAUAGCUGCAGUAUGGUAGGAAGCCAUUUGGACCUCUGACAUACUGUGUAAUUAUGUCCUUGGUACAUUGGUAUCUGGACUCUUGGUGUACCAUUCCUUUCACAAAGGGGCUGCUGUGGGUACAGGUAGCCUCCUUUGUGAUUUAUAUGCAGGCAGUCCAAAAUUAAGUUCUUCGCUUUUAAAAAUCUCAGGUAACAGGCCUAUGAAAUGCCUCUUUGUCUGAGAUUUGGAUUGCUGCUGCCAGUCAGAAAAACCAGUGCUGGAUUAGAUGGACCAUUGGUUUCACUCUAUAUAUACCUAAUUAAGGACAAGCUGGACAACUAUUAAUUAGAAGUCAUCACCACAGUGAUAGACAGAAGGACAGAAACACAGCGUCAGAUCUUCAGCUGCAACUGUCUAGGUUAGCCUUACCUUGGAACUUUGAGCUCACAGUUAUCAAAGUUUUAGUCGGACUGUAUGCCAGUAAUAUGUAAUCGGAAAAUGUUUUUUUCUAACAUCUGUUAUUGAUCUGAAAAUUUAUAUUGAGCUAAUAGCCGAUUUCCUAUUGUUUUCCACAGCAUUUCCAAAUGCUGGCUUGUGAUCACUGUAUAGUGUGACAGUAUGGUGUCCACUAGUCUUAAAUGUCUCUCUGACAGUAGGCAGUGAGAGGAAGGCAGCAAAGCUUGUCAGACAGGCUGGUUUUCUAAAAAGGAAAGCUAUAUACAGCAUAUGUCAACUGAUCAAAAGCCUCCUGGUUUUUGAUCAUUGGUGGAUAUAAGCGGAGUCAUCCAAGCUUCCUACAUUAUAGUAAAAUAAAUGAUGUUGCAUUACUACUGACAUAAAAAGUGGACAUUGUUAGAAUGUUUAAUAAUAUGGGAAGAAAAUUAGGGCCACAUUUUAGAGAGGAAAUGGUCCAGUCCUUAGGCCUCUUUUUUUCUUCCUUUUCUUCUCCCUUGAAUGGUCUUUUCUAUUUAGAAAGGCUAUUGUGCUAAGAAAAAACCUUCUGUCAUAAUAUGAACGAGCAGAAGAGAAGUGGCAGGAUGUGAUAGCCACUAUAGAUGUAUAGAGGGAAGAAAAAGGAAGCAGGGAUAAAAGUUGAUCAAAUGGAUGUGAUCUGAAGUGGCAUGAUAUAUUUUUGAAUAGCAGCAAUGAAUAGUAGAAAUUGAGAAGGGGUUUCAAGAUGAAAAAUAGGAUAACUUUGAUCAUGUUAAUAUUGAGCUGUCAGCAAGCUGUCUAGAAAUGCAUAUUGUAGGCUGAAUCUGAUAUCAUCAGGGAAAGUUUAAUUUAUUGCAGGUAUGCACAGCUUUCCUAACUUUAAGCAUAGGCAACCUCCUCCCUGCAUAACAGUCUGAUUGCAGAAAGACUGGUUCAUGUUUUGAGGAUACACAGUAGGAAACCUUCAAAGGUGCUGGGGGGUGAGAAGGGUUGGAUUCUAUGCAACAACAUAUGGAUAUGUCAGAUGCUUUCAUUCUUGUUUGAUGGAACAAAUUUUACCAGACUGGAUUUGUAACAUUCCAGUGGUAAAUUUUAUAUAAAGUAUAUAACGCAAUGUGGUAGCUAGGAGGGUGGUCUGGUUUAGCAGAAGCUGAUGCAAUAUGUUAAGAUUUCUGACCAAGUAUUCCUUCAAGAGAGGGGUACUUAUUUUGGUUUAAGAUCCUGUCAUAUGUUAAAACAAGGCUUGUUUUUUGAGAUCCAACAAUGAAUAUAGGGCAGGAGAAAGUCAGUAAAAUUAUUUAGCAAAAGUAAACUAGAGAUGGUAAUGAGAUCUUUUGUAGCCAAAAGGUAUUUUCUUUUUAUCCUGUUAUCCACAGAAAUGGAAAAUAGAAAUGCCUGUCUAUUGUGUUUAAAUCACAAUUUCCAAAAGCUUAACUCCUCUGCUUUUAAUUU